GGGAGGAGCGAGCAUUAUUCGGAAUGAUUAGGCGUAAAGGGUUUGUAGGUGGUUUUUUAAGUUGAAAAAACAGAUUAAAGCUCAACUUUAUAAAUUUUUUCAAAACUGAGAAACUUGAGUAUAAAUAGAGGAUAAUGGAAUUUCUAUUGGAGGGAUAAAAUACGUUGAUAAUAGAAGGAAGGCCUAAAGCGAAGGCAAUUAUCUGGGUAUAUACUGACACUGAGAAACGAAAGCUUGGGUAGCAAACGGGAUUAGAGACCCCGGUAGUCCAUGCUGUAAACGAUGAGUGCUCAUAUUUAGAAUUUUUAGAUAUUAAGCUAACGCGUUAAGCACUCCGCCUGAAAAGUAUAAUCGCAAGAUCG
This 362-nucleotide ribosomal RNA is filed under the name uncultured bacterium. RNAcentral's name for it is "bacterial SSU rRNA". It matches the Rfam family "Bacterial small subunit ribosomal RNA", at positions 527 to 896 of the family's 1533-position model. The record is from RNAcentral.